RNAcentral lists this ribosomal RNA (252 nucleotides) under uncultured bacterium. Its description in RNAcentral is "partial 16S ribosomal RNA". It matches the Rfam family "Bacterial small subunit ribosomal RNA", at positions 524 to 776 of the family's 1533-position model. The record is from RNAcentral.
UACGGAGGGAGCUAGCGUUGUUCGGAAUUACUGGGCGUAAAGCGCACGUAGGCGGCUAUUCAAGUCGGGGGUGAAAGCCCGGAGCUCAACUCCGGAAAUGCCAUUGAAACUGUGAGACUUGAGGACGAGAGAGGUGAGUGGAAUUCCCAGUGUAGAGGUGAAAUUCUAGAUAUUGGGAAGAACACCGGUGGCGAAGGCGGCUCACUGGCUCGUAUCUGACGCUCAGGCGCGACAGCGUGGGGAUCAAACAGG